GGUCUCCGUGACGUAGCUAACGCAUUAAGCGCCCCGCCUGGGGAGUACGGCCGCAAGGCUAAAACUCAAAGGAAUUGACGGGGGCCCGCACAAGCGGCGGAGCAUGCGGAUUAAUUCGAUGCAACGCGAAGAACCUUACCAAGGCUUGACAUAUAGAGGAAAAGGCUGGAAACAGUCUCCCCGCAAGGUCUCUAUACAGGUGGUGCAUGGUUGUCGUCAGCUCGUGUCGUG
Molecule: ribosomal RNA, 231 nt
Filed under: Aurantiochytrium limacinum
Lineage: Eukaryota; Bigyra; Thraustochytrida; Thraustochytriidae
Description: partial Bacterial small subunit ribosomal RNA
Rfam family: Bacterial small subunit ribosomal RNA
Source: RNAcentral